CUUUAAAAGAGCUCUAAGAUGUAUCAAAAAUUGCAUGAUUUCAUAUUUUGGUAUUUGUGCUCCAAUGCUCUUAUUAUCAUAGAAGAACUUUGAAGUCAUAGAAGAAUUAAUGAUCCAACAUGAUGAUAUGUCUUUCACAUAUAUAAGUUUUGAUCUUUUACUCUGAAACUUAAUUAAAUUGCUCUCAAAAUACUUAAUAGAUUGGGCAAAAGGUCUUAAAUGAACAAGCUUUCAUACUUAUUGAAGAGGUUAGAUUUCCACUCAUGUUUUUCCUUGAAUAUCAAUGUGGUACUUCUUGAAUUAACCUAAGGAAGAUUCCACCUACACUUGAUUAGAAAACUAUCUGUGGUAUCAAAUUAGAAAACCUCUUGAAUUCACACUCGAUGUGUUCUGCUCUGAUCUUUGUGCUUAAUGUUUCACUAUCUUUUUGAUGUUGUCAAAAAGAGGGAGAAAUAUCUAAGUAUAUGCUAUAUAUACUCAUAAUGCUUUAUUACUUUGAAUUGAAUGCUUUAUUACUUUGAAUUGAAUACAAAUCAGCUUAAAAUUUAAAUAUGUUAAUUGUGUUAAGCUGAUUAAAUCUAAAGCAUUAUCAUGAAGUAUGUUUUUACAUAUAUAUGUUUUCUACUUCAUGCAACUUAGCUAUGUAUUACUUCUAGAAAUCAAUAUCUUUUAUAUUGCAUAUACUCCAAGUUUUGUCAUCAUCAAAA
Molecule: long non-coding RNA, 707 nt
Filed under: Phoenix dactylifera (date palm)
Lineage: Eukaryota; Viridiplantae; Streptophyta; Magnoliopsida; Arecales; Arecaceae
Description: long non-coding RNA (PDAC_LNC001724)
Source: RNAcentral